AAACCUAAAGUUCAAACCUUUUUAACUCUUCUACCAUAAAACCCUGACGCUCAAUUUUUUCAUUUCACGUCCGGAUACUUUUUUCUUCUCACACCCUCUCUAAAUUAUAUAUAUAUAUAUAAGCAGCAAAGUUGCAGUCUAGUCUUCUACUCUUUAUUGUAGUCGCUUUGUUUUUUCCUCCUUUAUUUAAUUAAUUAAUUCAAAUUUAAUUUUCCAACAGUUUUUCUUUUUUUUUUUUGGGGAGACGGUUGCUACAGUCGUACGUUUAUCACUGUAGUCGAGACAGCAGGAAGAAAGAAUCGGAAACAGCUUUCCUCUCUGCAACAUCGCAAGCUCUAAUACAUAUGGCAGCGAACGCCCCCUCUGCACCACGAUCACCUCCGUCUGCCUCAAAUUCUGGAACUUCCCCAUCUCAACCUACCUCCCCAUUGCCCCCUAAGGUUUCCGCUUUCUUUCUCUCUCUGCUAUAUUUGUUUACAUGUACAUACAAACAUGUUUAUAUGCAUAUAUGUGUACAUGUACAUGAGUUUAAUCUUUGCAUUUAUAAGGUUGAAAUUCCUAGCAAUAAUGGAGUACAUAAUGUGUUCGAGGAAAAGCCUGACUUAGCUAGCCAUUUCGAGUAAGUUCUUUUCCUCCCUUUUAUCUUCGUUGCAGUUAUUUUCUUUGAAUUUCGCCAUGUUCGAAUCCUUUUAGGCUAAGUCAAGGUUUCAUUGUUCAAAAAUUGAAAGUUGGGAAUUUGAUUAUGUCACAAUAGUUGGGUCAUAAAAAAUGGAAUUAGGGCUUCUUGAUUCUUCGAGUGGGUAUCUUUUGUAUCUUAGCUAGUUCAAGACUUGUGUGUCUUUGGAUUCUGUUCAACUGACAUCCCUCCCAGCCUGCUACAUAACAGAGGAACGGAAAGAUCCAUAAAGUGAUAUACUAGACUGAUGAGGGAAUGUGUUGAUCUGCUUUCCUCC
This 953-nucleotide long non-coding RNA is filed under the name Carica papaya (papaya). Its description in RNAcentral is "long non-coding RNA (CPAP_LNC012615)". The record is from RNAcentral. Lineage: Eukaryota; Viridiplantae; Streptophyta; Magnoliopsida; Brassicales; Caricaceae.